This 466-nucleotide ribosomal RNA is filed under the name uncultured bacterium. RNAcentral's name for it is "partial 16S ribosomal RNA". It matches the Rfam family "Bacterial small subunit ribosomal RNA", at positions 28 to 507 of the family's 1533-position model. The record is from RNAcentral.
GAUGAACGCUGGCGGCGUGCUUAACACAUGCAAGUCGAACGGAAAGGCUCCUGCUUGCAGGGGUACUCGAGUGGCGAACGGGUGAGUAACACGUGGGUGAUCUGCCCUGCACUUCGGGAUAAGCCUGGGAAACUGGGUCUAAUACCGGAUAGGACGAUGGUUUGGAUGCCAUUGUGGAAAGUUUUUUCGGUGUGGGAUGAGCUCGCGGCCUAUCAGCUUGUUGGUGGGGUAAUGGCCUACCAAGGCGUCGACGGGUAGCCGGCCUGAGAGGGUGUACGGCCACAUUGGGACUGAGAUACGGCCCAGACUCCUACGGGAGGCAGCAGUGGGGAAUAUUGCACAAUGGGCGCAAGCCUGAUGCAGCGACGCCGCGUGGGGGAUGACGGCCUUCGGGUUGUGAACUCCUUUCGCUAGGGACGAAGCGCAAGUGACGGUACCUGGAGAAGAAGCACCGGCUAACUACGUG